CCUACGUGUGGCAGCAGUGAGGAAUAUUGGUCAAUGGACGGAAGUCUGAACCAGCCAUGCCGCGUGCAGGAUGACGGCUCUAUGAGUUGUAAACUGCUUUUGUACAAGGGUAAACCUGAAUACGUGUAUUCAGCUGAAUGUACUGUACGAAUAAGGAUCGGCUAACUCCGUGCCAGCAGCCGCGGUAAUACGGAGGAUCCAAGCGUUAUCCGGAUUUAUUGGGUUUAAAGGGUGCGUAGGCGGAUUGUUAAGUGAGAGGUGAAAUGUCGCGGCUCAACUCUGGAACUGCCGCUGAUACUGGUGGUCUAGAGUAGAGGUGAGGUAGGCGGAAUGUGUGGUGUAGCGGUGAAAUGCUUAGAGAUCAUGCAGAACACCGAUUGCGAAGGCAGCUUAC
RNAcentral lists this ribosomal RNA (394 nucleotides) under uncultured bacterium. RNAcentral's name for it is "partial 16S ribosomal RNA". It matches the Rfam family "Bacterial small subunit ribosomal RNA", at positions 338 to 729 of the family's 1533-position model. The record is from RNAcentral.